This 403-nucleotide ribosomal RNA is filed under the name uncultured bacterium. RNAcentral describes it as "bacterial SSU rRNA". It matches the Rfam family "Bacterial small subunit ribosomal RNA", at positions 356 to 773 of the family's 1533-position model. The record is from RNAcentral.
GGGGAAUAUUGGGCAAUGGGGGAAACCCUGACCCAGCAACGCCGCGUGAAGGAAGAAGGUUUUCAGAUUGUAAACUUCUGUCGCAGGGGACGAAAUAAAUGACGGUACCCUGUGAGGAAGCCCCGGCUAACUACGUGCCAGCAGCCGCGGUAAUACGUAGGGGGCGAGCGUUGUCCGGAAUUACUGGGCGUAAAGGGUGCGUAGGCGGCUUGACAAGUCAGAUGUGAAAUACCCGGGCUUAACCCGGGGGGUGCAUUUGAAACUGACGAGCUUGAGUGCAGGAGAGGAAAGCGGAAUUCCUAGUGUAGCGGUGAAAUGCAUAGAUAUUAGGAGGAACACCAGUGGCGAAGGCGGCUUUCUGGACUGCAACUGACGUUGAGGCACGAAAGCGUGGGGAGCAAAC